This is a non-coding RNA of Ceratotherium simum simum (southern white rhinoceros), 1309 nucleotides long. The record is from RefSeq and is a predicted model, not a curated record. NCBI's taxonomy places the organism in Eukaryota, Metazoa, Chordata, Mammalia, Perissodactyla, Rhinocerotidae.
GGGACGCCGCGCGCCCGGCACCCCGGGGCAGGCUCGCCAUGGCGAUGGGCGGCGGCGGCGGCGGCGGACCGGAGCAGGAGGACUCGGUGCUGUUCCGGCGCGGCACGGGCCAGAGUGAUGAUUCUGACAUUUGGGAUGAUACAGCAUUGAUAAAAGCUUAUGAUAAAGCUGUGGCUUCAUUUAAGCAUGCUCUAAAGAAUGGUGACAUUUCCGAAGCUUCAAAUAAACAAAAAGGCACACCUAAAAGAAAACCUGCGAAGAAGAAUAAAAACCAAAAAAAGAAUCCUACAACUCCCCUGAAGCAGUGGAAAGUUGGUGACAAAUGUUCUGCCAUUUGGUCAGAAGACGGCUGCAUUUACCCAGCUACCAUUGCUUCAGUUGAUUUUAGGAGAGAAACCUGUGUUGUGGUUUACACUGGAUAUGGAAAUAGAGAGGAGCAAAAUCUGUCUGAUCUACUUUCCCCAACCUCUGAAGUAGCUAAUAAUAUAGAACAGAAUGCUCCAGAGAAUGAAAGUGAAAGUCAAAUUUCAACAGAUGAAAGUGAGAACAACUCCAGGUCUCCUGGAAAUAAACCAAAUAACAUCAAAUCAAAAGCUGCUCCAUGGAACUCUUUUCUCCCUCCACCACCGCCCAUGCCAGCAGGACUGGGACCAGGAAAGCCAGGUCUAAAAUUCAAUGGCCCACCACCGCCACCACCACCACCACCCUUCCUCUCCUGCUGGCUGCCUCCCUUUCCUUCUGGACCACCAAUAAUUCCACCCCCACCUCCCAUAUGUCCAGAUUCUCUUGAUGAUGCUGAUGCUUUGGGAAGUAUGCUAAUCUCUUGGUACAUGAGUGGCUAUCAUACUGGUUACUAUAUGGGUUUCAAACAAAAUCAAAAAGAAGGAAGGUGCUCACACUUCAAUUAAGGAGUAAUUCGUGCAGUGUUCUUUAAUAGGUAAGUGCUUUUUCCUAAGUAUUUCUUGGAGAACAUUCCAUAUCAGUAUAUAAAACUAUCUUGUUUUAAACAGUUGCAGGAUAUUUUUAUAUGUAGAUAUGUACCAUACUUAAAUUUGAGUUCUUAUGGAUGGAAGUUUAGGUUGUUUCCAGUUGUUUGCUGUGUACUACUACAGUCAGUACCCUUUUACAUAAUUCUUUUGUAGAUGUAUGAAUACAUCUUUAGGAUUGUCUAAAUAGAAUCUAGAAUUCUAAUCUAGAAUUAGAUUCUAGAAUCAGAACUGCUGGAUUGAAGAGGGCAUGCAUUUAUAAUUUUAAUAAAUCUUGGCCAAAUUGAAACUCAAAGAAAACCUAAAAUUGGGUCCAGUGGACU